UUUUUCAAUGCUGAGAACCUCGAUCAGAGAGAACAAGGGCCAAACCAGCCACCCAAGAAUGGAAUCGUCGAACGAAAACACUUGACAACCUCUUGCAAGCAACUUUUCUUGCCACCAGACCUUUCUCCAUCAAUUAGGAAUUUAAUACCGUCACAAAACACAUUCCUUAAAUUGUAGCCAUUUUUUGAGUGUUUAUUUUUUGGUGUCUAAUCCGCAUAUAUAUCACCAUUGCUCUUGAUUUUCUUGACUGUAUAUCUCUUAAAUGUCAAUAUAUACACAUGCGAUUUAGUUUACGAAGAUUUUUCAGUGCCGAGAACCUCGAUCAGAGAGUAAAAAAGGCGUAAGGUUCGCAAUGGUGUAAAACUAAAAUGGGAUAUACCGGGCUAGGAUUCGAGUUACAGGAACAAGGCCCAAACCAACCACCCAAGAAUGGAAUCGUCUAGCGCAAACACUUGACAACCUCCUGGAAGCAGCUUUUCUUGCCACCAAACCUUUCUCCAUCAAUUAGGAAUCUGAUGCCGUCACUAAACACAUUCCUUAAAUUGUAGCCAUUUUUUGAGUGUUUAUUUUUUGGUGUCUAAUCCGCAUAUAUAACACCAUUGCUC
RNAcentral lists this long non-coding RNA (605 nucleotides) under Helianthus annuus (common sunflower). Its description in RNAcentral is "hypothetical non coding rna". Lineage: Eukaryota; Viridiplantae; Streptophyta; Magnoliopsida; Asterales; Asteraceae. The record is from RNAcentral.